Molecule: small nuclear RNA, 108 nt
Organism: Meriones unguiculatus (Mongolian gerbil)
Lineage: Eukaryota; Metazoa; Chordata; Mammalia; Rodentia; Muridae
Source: Ensembl
GUGCUUAUUUUGGCAGCAUAUAUACUAAAAUUAGAAAGAUACAGAGAAGAUUAGCAUGGCCUCUGUGCAAGGAUGACAACCCAGUUCUUUUAAAAGAGCUCUCUUUCC